CUUGCGUAAGAGAGCGCUGGCCGGCAACGCACGUGUCGACGUUCUCCCGCCGUACUGUCUCCCUCUAUCUUUGCCUGUCUACUGUGCGCGCCGACACAAUGUCCACCGGGACCAUCUCCGCUGCCGCCCUGCAGUACUUUGAGUCGAAGGGCAUUCAGUCGAUUCUAGAUGAAGCGAUGCACAACUUGGUGCUGGAGAUGCCGGCAGACCCACUCAUUUUCCUCGAGGAGGCCUUCCGCAGGCCGACCCCCCUUCACAUCAUCAUCACCGGCCCACCCGGCAGCGGCAAAACCACGCUGGCGGCCAAGUUGGCUGCCCAUUAUGGCAUCACGCACGUUGCUGCUACUUCCGCGGCUGCCGGAGACAUGGCGAUGCCAGCUGGUGUGCUCGGCGAGCUGAAAACUCUGCAGAAGGAUGGUAAGGGCUGGGUCCUGGACGGCUUCCCGCAAACGCGCGCAGACGCGAUUCAGCUGCAGACGUCGGGGAUAUUUCCUCAGCAAGUCUUUGAGCUGCAGGUCCCACUAGCAGUGGCGCUGGAGCGUGCCAUCUUCACCGCGUCUGACCCAUCCAAAAACACCGAAGAGGCGACGGCGAUUGCGAAAAACUACGAGCACUACGAUGUGCGCAGAAUAGAGGUCACCACUUCCUACCAGCACUGCUACCGUGGCAUCGAUGCCACUGUCUCCGCCGAGGAGGUGGCUGCGGAAGCUCUGAAGGCCAUCGAUGCGUUGCAGCUCUUGUGAAGCCUGAACAUUACCGACAGCGCCGAACAAGGGCGAACACCAAUAGGGUAGUUUCAUGUCGCUCCACCGGAGUCGGAUGAACAGCUCCGGUACACGUUUUUUUUUGCUGAUGAGUUGCGACUCCGGUGGUUUGUUCCAGUACGAUGUAAUGUAGAGCACCCGUGGCUGCCUCUUUGCUCCAGAGGUGGAACGUAUUUG
Molecule: unclassified non-coding RNA, 941 nt
Filed under: Leishmania donovani
Lineage: Eukaryota; Euglenozoa; Kinetoplastea; Trypanosomatida; Trypanosomatidae
Description: gene:LdHU3.16.0030(CDS-product:Holliday_junction_ DNA_helicase_ruvB_N-inus/Part_of_AAA_domain/AAA_domain_cont aining_protein_putative)
Source: RNAcentral